Molecule: transfer RNA, 75 nt
Filed under: Candidatus Eiseniibacteriota bacterium
Lineage: Bacteria; Candidatus Eiseniibacteriota
Description: tRNA-Gln
Rfam family: tRNA
About the family: Transfer RNA (tRNA) molecules are approximately 80 nucleotides in length. Their secondary structure includes four short double-helical elements and three loops (D, anti-codon, and T loops).
Source: RNAcentral
AGGGGCGUCGCCAAGUGGUAAGGCAUCGGGUUUUGGUCCCGACAUCCGCAGGUUCGAGUCCUGCCGCCCCUGCCA